This 453-nucleotide ribosomal RNA is filed under the name uncultured bacterium. RNAcentral describes it as "bacterial SSU rRNA". It matches the Rfam family "Bacterial small subunit ribosomal RNA", at positions 340 to 786 of the family's 1533-position model. The record is from RNAcentral.
UACGGGAGGCAGCAGUGAGGAAUAUUGGUCAAUGGGUGCAAGCCUGAACCAGCCAUCCCGCGUGAAGGACGACUGCCCUAUGGGUUGUAAACUUCUUUUGUAUAGGGAUAAACCUACCCUCGUGAGGGUAGCUGAAGGUACUAUACGAAUAAGCACCGGCUAACUCCGUGCCAGCAGCCGCGGUAAUACGGAGGGUGCAAGCGUUAUCCGGAUUUAUUGGGUUUAAAGGGUCCGUAGGCGGACUUAUAAGUCAGUGGUGAAAGCCUGUCGCUUAACGAUAGAACUGCCAUUGAUACUGUAAGUCUUGAGUAUAUUUUGAGGUAGCUGGAAUAAGUAGUGUAGCGGUGAAAUGCAUAGAUAUUACUUAGAACACCAAUUGCGAAAGGCAGGUUACCAAGAUAUAAACUGACGCUGAGGGACGAAAGCGUGGGGAGCGAACAGGGAUUAGAUACC